This 213-nucleotide ribosomal RNA is filed under the name Triticum aestivum (bread wheat). RNAcentral describes it as "partial small subunit ribosomal RNA". The record is from RNAcentral. Lineage: Eukaryota; Viridiplantae; Streptophyta; Magnoliopsida; Poales; Poaceae.
AUGCUCUUAAGAGUGCAUGUGACUGUAGCCUCAGCUGAAAGAAGUUUCUCUAAACUUAAACUACUGAAAAAUUAUUUGAGGUCAACUAUGUUGCAAGAUAGAUUACAUGGCUUGGCUAUAUGCUGCAUUGAGAAGGAUAUCUUAGACAAUUUUGAUCUUGAUUGUGCCCUUAAUGACUUUGCAUCAAGAAACGUCCGAAGAAACUUUUUCUGA